This 384-nucleotide ribosomal RNA is filed under the name uncultured bacterium. RNAcentral describes it as "bacterial SSU rRNA". It matches the Rfam family "Bacterial small subunit ribosomal RNA", at positions 30 to 416 of the family's 1533-position model. The record is from RNAcentral.
AUUGAACGCUGGCGGAAUGCUUUACACAUGCAAGUCGAACGGCAGCACGGGGCAACCUGGUGGCGAGUGGCGAACGGGUGAGUAAUAUAUCGGAACGUGCCCAAUCGUGGGGGAUAACGUAGCGAAAGUUACGCUAAUACCGCAUACGAUCUACGGAUGAAAGCGGGGGAUCGCAAGACCUCGCGCGAAUGGAGCGGCCGAUAUCAGAUUAGGUAGUUGGUGGGGUAAAGGCUCACCGAGCCAACGAUCUGUAGCUGGUCUGAGAGGACGACCAGCCACACUGGAACUGAGACACGGUCCAGACUCCUACGGGAGGCAGCAGUGGGGAAUUUUGGACAAUGGGCGCAAGCCUGAUCCAGCCAUUCCGCGUGCAGGAUGAAGGCC